AAGGCUUCAGUAUGACCCAGUCAGAACCAUAAGUCUCAAAGCCUCGACGAGUAGGGUGGCGUGCCGGUGCGCGUUGAAGGCCAAGACGUGAGUCAGGCUGGAGCCGCCGGUAGUGCAGAUCUUGGUGGUAGUAGCAAGUACUCUGGUGAACCAACCUGGAGCUGUGAGGUCUGGAUCAGGGUUCCAUGUCAACAGUGAUUGAACAUGGGUGAGUCGAUCCUAAGCCAACUGUGAAAGCAGUGACAUCCCGACAAAGGGGCUAUUUCGUGCGCCACACCUCUUGCACCCCCGGGCCAUGAGUGCUCAAGUAUCUCUCUCUCUCAAGGACGCAAAAAGGUAUAACAUAUACGCGCUUGCGCGCACACACGGCGAUCGCAUCCUAGAUUCGUGCGUGAGUGUGAUGCGCGUGCGCAGGUCUGAUUACGCUCAUAAGCGUUAAAAGGUAUAGGGUACGCGUUGGCGCGCACACACACUGUGAUCGCAUCCUAGAUUCGUGCGUGAGUGUGUUGCGUGUGCACGCGGGUCUGUCUGGCUCACAACGAGAGUGAGAGAGAAAUAAAAAAGGGUGAGCGCGAGAGGCUCGUCUUGCAUGAGCUCCCUGCGUCUGGUUCCAUGUCUGGCGAAAGGGAAUGGGGACUUUGUUCCUUGACCGGUCCCGGCACCCUCGAUUGGCUUUGCCAGUUAAUGGUCCAUGCAAAUGGAACCAGGCCACAGCCGCCGGCAGUCGCCCGAGGAAGAGUUUUCUUUUCUGCUUAACGCACGAGGUCAUCCCUGGAAACAGUUCGGCUGGCGAAAGGGUGCCCCGUUGCGGCAGAGCGCCACGACUGUCGUGCGCGUCUCGGUGUUCCUGCCGGUCCGUGAAAACGUGGUCGAGGGGAUUGCUGUAUUGUAUCAACGAAACGCCCGACAAGUUCGGGACGGACCGUACCCUAUAUCCGCAUCUGGUCUCCAAGGUUCGUAGCCUCUGCAGAGUCAGACACAUGUAGGUAAGGGAAGUCGGCAAACUCGAUCCGUAACUUCGGGAAAAGGAUUGGCUCUGAGGGCCGAGCUGGGCCGGGCCUUGCCUGCAAAGCAGUACCUAUAGUGACCGGAGUUUCAGGAGUGCGAGGGGCUCUAGUAGCUGCUCGUGCGUGUGUGCGUUCGCGCGUGCGCGCGUGUGGGCACGAACGAGUUCACCGCUCCGCUCCAACCACGAACGGCUGUGACGGCAAGGGCUCUGGGCGGGAGCGAUCAAACCGUUGGCCUCCAGCUCGUCUGGCUGGCGGCGGUGCUCCGUCUGACCCAUACGGCUCCAGCGGCUAGCGGCUAACUCAGAACUGUCAUGGACCAAGGGAAUCCGACUGUCUAAUUAAAACAAAGCGUCGUGACGGCCCCUGUUGGGUGUUGACGCGACGUGAUUUC
RNAcentral lists this ribosomal RNA (1401 nucleotides) under Niphargus zorae. RNAcentral's name for it is "partial 28S ribosomal RNA". It matches the Rfam family "Eukaryotic large subunit ribosomal RNA", at positions 1324 to 2198 of the family's 3401-position model. Lineage: Eukaryota; Metazoa; Arthropoda; Malacostraca; Amphipoda; Niphargidae. The record is from RNAcentral.